RNAcentral lists this ribosomal RNA (253 nucleotides) under uncultured prokaryote. RNAcentral describes it as "partial 16S ribosomal RNA". It matches the Rfam family "Bacterial small subunit ribosomal RNA", at positions 525 to 777 of the family's 1533-position model. The record is from RNAcentral.
ACGUAGGCAGCAAGCGUUGUUCGGAGUUACUGGGCGUAAAGGGUGUGUAGGCGGUUCUUUAAGUUUGGUGUGAAAUCUCCCGGCUCAACUGGGAGGGUGCGCCGAAUACUGAGGGACUAGAGUACGGGAGAGGAAAGUGGAAUUCCUGGUGUAGCGGUGAAAUGCGUAGAUAUCAGGAGGAACACCGGUGGUGUAGACGGCUUUCUGGACCGACACUGACGCUGAGACACGAAAGCGUGGGUAGCAAACAGGA